Molecule: ribosomal RNA, 531 nt
Filed under: uncultured bacterium
Lineage: Bacteria
Description: bacterial SSU rRNA
Rfam family: Bacterial small subunit ribosomal RNA
Source: RNAcentral
UAGAGUUUGAUCCUGGCUCAGGACGAACGCUGGCGGCGUGCUUAACACAUGCAAGUGGAGCGACGAACCAGGCUUCGGCCUGGGGCAGAGCUGCGAACGGGUGAGUAACACGUGGGUAACCUGCCCCGAUGACCGGGACAACCCGAGGAAACUCGGGCUAAUACCGGAUGUGCCCUCCUCACAUCAGUGAGAUGAGUAAAGGUAGCUUAGGCCUCCGCAUCGGGAUGGGCCCGCGGCCCAUUAGCUUGUUGGUGGGGUAACGGCCUACCAAGGCUGCGAUGGGUAGCUGGUCUGAGAGGACGAUCAGCCACACUGGGACUGAGACACGGCCCAGACUCCUACGGGAGGCAGCAGUGGGGAAUUGUUCGCAAUGGGCGCAAGCCUGACGACGCAACGCCGCGUGGAGGAUGAAGAUUUUCGGAUCGUAAACUCCUGUCGAAUGGGACGAAAAGGUCGUGGGUUAACAACCUGCGAUCCUGACGGUACCGUUAAAGGAAACCCCGGCUAACUCCGUGCCAGCAGCCGCGGUAA